This 1238-nucleotide long non-coding RNA is filed under the name Mytilus galloprovincialis (Mediterranean mussel). Lineage: Eukaryota; Metazoa; Mollusca; Bivalvia; Mytilida; Mytilidae. The record is from RNAcentral.
CUGCCUUUUUAUUUUUCAGUCUAUUCGGUCCUGCCUUUUUUUUCUUAGCUUAUCCUGACUUUUUUAUAACAAUUGUCAUCCUGCCUUUUUAUACGACCGCAAAAUUUGAAAAAUUUUUCGUGGUAUAUUGCUAUCACGUUGGUGUCGUCGUCUGCGUCGUCAUCGGAAUACUUUUAGUUUUCGCACUCUAACUUUAGUAAAAGUGAAUGGAAAUCUAUAAAAUUUUAACACAAGGUUUAUGACCACAAAAGGAAGGUUGGUAUUGAUUUUGGGAGUUUUGGUCCCAACAUUUUAGGAAUUAGGGGCCAAAAAGGGCCCAAAUAAGCAUUUUCUUGGUUUUCGCACUAUAACUUUAGUUUAAGUUAAUAGAAAUCUAUGAAAUUUUGACACAAGGUUUAUGACCACAAAAGAACGGUUGGGAUUGAUUUUGGGAGUUUUGGUUUCAAAAGUUUAGGAAUUAGGGGCCAAAAAAGGGCCCAAAUAAGCAUUAUUCUUGGUUUUCGCACAAUAACUUUAGUUUAAGUAAUUAGAAAUCAAUGAAAUUUAAACACAAUGUUAAUGACUACAAAAGGAAGGUUGGUAUUGAUUUUGGGAGUUUAGGUCCCAACAGUUUAGGAAUUAGGGGCCAAAAUGGGACCCAAAUAAGCAUUUUUCUUGGUUUUCGCACCAUAACGUUAGUAUAAGUAAACAGAAAUCUAUGAAAUUUAAACACAAGGUUUAUGACCAUAAAAGGAAGGUUGGUAUUGAUUUUGGGAGUUUUGGUCCCAACAUAAUAAGGGGCCCAAAGGGUCCAAAAUUAAACUUUGUUUGAUUUCAUCAAAAUUGAAUAAUUGGGGUUCUUUGAUAUGCCGAAUCUAACUGUCAUGACUGUGUAUGUAGAUUCUUAACUUUUGGUCCCGUUUUCAAAUUGGUCUACAUUAAGGUCCAAAGGGUCCAAAAUUAAACUUAGUUUGAUUUUGACAAAAAAUAAAUCAGUUAGGUUCUUUGAUAUGCUGAAUCUAAAAAUGUACUUAGAUUCUUGAUUAUUGGCCCAGUUUUCAAGUUGGUCCAAAUUGGGGUCCAAAAUUAAACUUUGUUUGAUUUCAUCAAAAAUUGAAUAAAUGGGGUUCUUUGAUAUACCAAAUCUAACUGUGUAUGUAGAUUCUUCAUUUUUGGUCCUGUUUUCAAAUUGGUCUACACUAAAGUCCAAAGGGUCCAAAAUUAAACUUAGUCUGAUUUUAACAAAAAUUGAAAUCUUG